UUGAGUUUGUCCUAAAAGGCUCCUGUAGUUCGGGCAAGUUUCUGAGGAAGGCUGUUUCGGCAGUGAUAAACUUUGUCAUUAUGCUUUGCUGACUACCAGGAAACAUCUGUCUUGAUUUUCUCAGCCACGCUGGCAAGGGCUCCAUCUCCUUCUUUACUCGAUCAGCGCAGCCUCUGGAUCACAUCAGAAACACCUUUCAACUGUACAUCUGAGUUCCAAGGUCCAUUAACCUGAUGCAGAAUUGAAGCUCAGUGACUCUACGUUCUUCCAAUGGAUGGACAUCUCCUUCGUCUUUUCUGUGUGGGCAUAAUGGAAAAGGUGGAACAAAUCCCAUCAUCUCUGAAAGAGGUUAAGCUGUAAUGCUGGAGGCUUUCCUUAACGUGGUUACAAAGAUCUCAACAGCUCCACUUUGUUUCUGCUCAACCACCUGCUCCUUGUUCAUUUGUCAUCUCCAGCUUUAAUAACUCAGUUAAACAGAAUGAAAAAUGAAGACAGAAAUUUCCUGAAAAGAGUGUUUGUCAGCAAUAAUGGGAGACAGACUUCAGUGAGAUGGGAACUGAGCAUUCCUGACACGGCUGCUGUAAAUAGACUCUGGGAAACUGGAAAAGGAGCAAAAGAAAACGAUCUGCACGCAAAGCACGUGAUCAUGAGGACAUGUCUUGUCAACAACCCUCCUCACGUGACCUCAAAGAUCUUCUGUCACAUUUGGUUAUGGGCGCUGGCUGUGACAUUCCAAAACUUCCAUUCUCUCCAGGCGCUGUGCAGCCAAGUGUGUCCACUCCAAUCCCUGACAGGUCCUUUGAAUUUGCACAGCCAGUCAUCCAGCUGCUGAGCCCAGGUCCCAGUCUGUGCCACCCAGGGGACCUGAAGAGAGCUGUGGUUCUGAGAAGAGGCCCUUUCUGUCCAUCACCUUCAACAUUUCCCUCAGCAGAACAUUCAAUUUAUUUUAUAGCUUCACUCCACUUGAUAGCACUGACCUCCCAGAUCCCUUGGAGAGUAAUGAGAUGGCAGGACUGAUCUGAGCGUUGAGACCGCCCUGCUCGGAUCUUCAGGAGAGUCGCCCUGUAAUAAAAAGGGAGAAGGCUGAAAAGGGGAUUAAUUUUGUUCAAGCUGUUUUGUGUUUUCAAAAGAAACUCCUCUCAAACCCCAGAGAACCUGCAGUAGUGUCCCUUCUCUGAUAGGCAUGUGUGAUCGGUUCGUCACGCCCGUGAUUCAUCUUUAAAGCUAAAUAAAAAGGACAGGUUGCAAUGCAGAGCUGCGUCUCGCAUGACAGCAUGUCCCAGAGUUGACUCAAAAUGUCAGCAAGGAGCAGAACUGUUUAGAAAGAGGUCAGAUUUCAAUUAGAAGAGUGCCAUGCUGUGGCCAGAGGAAGAAAAUGCACCCAUUGAAUUCGUGGAAACAAAACACUUUUUGAAAACUUUGGCUUCAGAGAUUUGGAAAAGUUUUUAUUCAUUGACCAGAUGACAUAAAAAGCAUACGAAACCUCAACAUUUAGGCCUAUGGGGGUUGCGUUGGCAGUGAAGCUACUCGAUACUUAGAUACAAACAACAAAAAAGUAGAAUGUAUUAAAGAUAAUUAACAAUUAACUAAAGCACCAAUUUUAGCCGGUCACGUUCAUGAUAAAAUGUUUAGCUUUUGUCCCUCAUUCAAAAAUGUGUAAUACUACAAAGUCAAUGAAUAAAUUUGUUUUCUCUAUAGGUUUUAGUAAAACUUUAAUUGAAUAUCAAAUACUGUAUCUUAUUUCAGUCAUUUGAGACGCACACCACCGAUCUUUGUUUUUACACCAGCCUGUCACUCACACAGGUCACAGCUGUAUUCCUUCCUGUCCCACUGAUUAACAAAAACAUUAAUCAGACCUUCAGGUGAUUACUAUGUAUAAACAUCAUUGAUACUCCAUGUGGCCUUGAUGUCAACAUGUUUCCCUGUGUUUAUGUCAGAAGAUGGCCAUGUGUCCUUCACCUGUGCAUAAGCUUCUCGCUGGACAAUUACAGUGCAACCUUAUUCCGAGGAGAGAGAAGCGCGCGGUGGCAGAGUUAGAUGAACAGAAAAAAUAGGAGACAGUUAAUGGCAGAGAAACUUGGAAGUUAAGAGAGAUAAAGUGGAAGUGAAUAGGGAAGAGAAACGUAAGGCAGCGACAGAGAAAAGCUAGGAGUUAGGCAUGAGGAAGUGGCUGAGAGCGUAGAAGAUAAAGAGGAAGAUAAAUCUGGCAGAGUUUGGAGUCCUGGAAGAAAGGAAACAUUGAGUAAGACAUCUGCGGUGGGCGAGGACAACUGUGUCCUUUUGAGGACACAGUGGCAACGUUUGAGUCCUAUCUAUCAGAAACUAGUUGCAUUUAGUUUCCUCCUGUGUCUAAAUAAAUUCU
This is a non-coding RNA of Poecilia reticulata (guppy), 2362 nucleotides long. NCBI's taxonomy places the organism in Eukaryota, Metazoa, Chordata, Actinopteri, Cyprinodontiformes, Poeciliidae. The record is from RefSeq and is a predicted model, not a curated record.